UCGGGAAUUUUGGGCAAUGGGCGAAAGCCUGACCCAGCAACGCCGCGUGAAGGAUGAAGUAUUUCGGUAUGUAAACUUCGAAAGAAUAGGAAGAAUAAAUGACGGUACUAUUUAUAAGGUCCGGCUAACUACGUGCCAGCAGCCGCGGUAAUACGUAGGGACCAAGCGUUGUUCGGAUUUACUGGGCGUAAAGGGCGCGUAGGCGGCAUGACAAGUCACUUGUGAAAUCUCUGGGCUUAACCCAGAACGGCCAAGUGAUACUGUCGCGCUAGAGUGCAGAAGGGGCAAUCGGAAUUCUUGGUGUAGCGGUGAAAUGCGUAGAUAUCGGGAGGAACACCUGUGGCGAAGGCGGCCACCUGGUUGGAUACUGACGCUGAGACGCGAAAGCGUGGGGAGCAAACAGGAUUAGAUACCCUUGUAGUCCCUGAGCGGGCUGGCAAGGCGCAU
Molecule: ribosomal RNA, 447 nt
Filed under: uncultured bacterium
Lineage: Bacteria
Description: bacterial SSU rRNA
Rfam family: Bacterial small subunit ribosomal RNA
Source: RNAcentral